RNAcentral lists this transfer RNA (90 nucleotides) under Alphaproteobacteria bacterium. RNAcentral describes it as "tRNA-Ser". It matches the Rfam family "tRNA". Rfam says of the family: Transfer RNA (tRNA) molecules are approximately 80 nucleotides in length. Their secondary structure includes four short double-helical elements and three loops (D, anti-codon, and T loops). The record is from RNAcentral. RNAcentral also lists the same sequence under 4 other names. Lineage: Bacteria; Pseudomonadati; Pseudomonadota; Alphaproteobacteria.
GGACAGAUGGCCGAGUGGUUUAAGGCAGCGGUCUUGAAAACCGCCGUGGGGGAAACCUCACCGUGGGUUCGAAUCCCACUCUGUCCGCCA